AUUCCUACGGGACUCAGCAGUAUUGAAUCUUGCUCACUUGUUUAAACCCUGAAGCAGCAACGCCGCGUGGAGGAUGAAGGUUUUCGGAUUGUAAACUCCUUUUGUUAGAGAAGAUAAUGACGGUAUCUAACGAAUAAGCACCGGCUAACUCCGUGCCAGCAGCCGCGGUAAUACGGAGGGUGCAAGCGUUACUCGGAAUCACUGGGCGUAAAGAGCGCGUAGGCGGGAUAGCAAGUCAGAUGUGAAAUCCUAUGGCUUAACCAUAGAACUGCAUUUGAAACUGUUAUUCUAGAGUAUGGGAGAGG
RNAcentral lists this ribosomal RNA (305 nucleotides) under uncultured bacterium. RNAcentral's name for it is "bacterial SSU rRNA". It matches the Rfam family "Bacterial small subunit ribosomal RNA", at positions 335 to 657 of the family's 1533-position model. The record is from RNAcentral.